AGCAGCCGCGGUAAUUCCAGCUCCAAUAGCGUAUAUUAAAGUUGUUGCAGUUAAAAAGCUCGUAGUUGAAUUUCGGGAUCAAUACGUCGGUCGUGCUUCGGUACGUACUGGUGUCAUUGAUUUCUCCCUUCUGACGAACCAUGAUGUCAUUAACUUGGUGUCAUGGGAAAUCAGGACUGUUACUUUGAAAAAAUUAGAGUGUUUAAAGCAGGCUCACGCUUGAAUACAUUAGCAUGGAAUAAUGAAAUAGGACGUCCGAUCCUAUUUUGUUGGUUUCUAGGAUCAACGUAAUGAUUAAUAGGGAUAGUUGGGGGCAUUAGUAUUCAAUUGUCAGAGGUGAAAUUCUUGGAUUUAUUGAAGACUAACUACUGCGAAAGCAUUUGCCAAGGAUGUUUUCAUUAAUCAAGAACGAAAGUUAGGGGAUCGAAGACGAUCAGAUACCGUCGUAGUCUUAACCAUAAACUAUGCCGACUAGGGAUCGGAUGAUGUUAAUUUUUAAUGA
This 502-nucleotide ribosomal RNA is filed under the name uncultured Glomus. RNAcentral's name for it is "SSU rRNA". It matches the Rfam family "Eukaryotic small subunit ribosomal RNA", at positions 569 to 1074 of the family's 1831-position model. Lineage: Eukaryota; Fungi; Glomeromycota; Glomeromycetes; Glomerales; Glomeraceae. The record is from RNAcentral.